RNAcentral lists this ribosomal RNA (468 nucleotides) under uncultured bacterium. RNAcentral describes it as "partial 16S ribosomal RNA". It matches the Rfam family "Bacterial small subunit ribosomal RNA", at positions 28 to 507 of the family's 1533-position model. The record is from RNAcentral.
GACGAACGCUGGCGGCGUGCUUAACACAUGCAAGUCGAACGGUGAUGCUCCAGCUUGCUGGAGUGGAUCAGUGGCGAACGGGUGAGUAACACGUGAGCAACCUGCCCCAGACUCUGGAAUAAGCGCUGGAAACGGCGUCUAAUACUGGAUACGAAACUGGCCCGCAUGGGCAUGGUUUGGAAAGUUUUUCGGUUUGGGAUGGGCUCGCGGCCUAUCAGCUUGUUGGUGAGGUAAUGGCUCACCAAGGCGACGACGGGUAGCCGGCCUGAGAGGGCGACCGGCCACACUGGGACUGAGACACGGCCCAGACUCCUACGGGAGGCAGCAGUGGGGAAUAUUGCACAAUGGGCGAAAGCCUGAUGCAGCGACGCCGCGUGAGGGAUGACGGCCUUCGGGCUGUAAACCUCUUUCAGCAGGGAAGAAGCGAAAGUGACGGUACCUGCAGAAGAAGCACCGGCUAACUACGUG